CGAAGGGGGCUAGCGUUGUUCGGAAUUACUGGGCGUAAAGGGCGCGUAGGCGGUCCUGAUCGUCGGAUGUGAAAGGCCUGGGCUCAACCUGGGAACUGCAUCCGAUACGGCGGGACUGGAGUGUGGGAGAGGUUGGUGGAAUUCCCAGUGUAGAGGUGAAAUUCGUAGAUAUUGGGAAGAACACCGGUGGCGACGGCGGCCAACUGGACCACAACUGACGCUGAGGCGCGAAAGCGUGGGGAGCAAACAGGAUUAGAUACCCUGGUAGUCCACGCUGUAAACGAUGCGUGCUAGACGUUGGGAGACCUAGUCUCUCGGUGUCGUCGCUAACGCUUUAAGCACGCCGCCUGGGGAGUACGGCCGCAAGGUUA
Molecule: ribosomal RNA, 371 nt
Filed under: uncultured organism
Description: bacterial SSU rRNA
Rfam family: Bacterial small subunit ribosomal RNA
Source: RNAcentral